AACGAACGCUGGCGGCAUGCCUAACACAUGCAAGUCGAACGAGACCUUCGGGUCUAGUGGCGCACGGGUGCGUAACGCGUGGGAACCUGCCCUUAGGUUCGGAAUAACUCCCCGAAAGGGGUGCUAAUACCGGAUAAUGUCUUCGGACCAAAGAUUUAUCGCCGUUGGAUGGGCCCGCGUUGGAUUAGCUAGUUGGUAGGGUAAAAGCCUACCAAGGCGACGAUCCAUAGCUGGUCUGAGAGGAUGAUCAGCCACACUGGGACUGAGACACGGCCCAGACUCCUACGGGAGGCAGCAGUGGGGAAUAUUGGACAGUGGGCGAAAGCCUGAUGCAGCAAUGCCGCGUGAGUGAUGAAGGCCUUAGGGUUGUAAAGCUCUUUUACCCGGGAUGAUAAUGACAGUACCGGGAGAAUAAGCUCCGGCUAACUCCGUG
Molecule: ribosomal RNA, 433 nt
Filed under: uncultured bacterium
Lineage: Bacteria
Description: partial 16S ribosomal RNA
Rfam family: Bacterial small subunit ribosomal RNA
Source: RNAcentral